GGGCUGGGACUGGGGCAGGAGGCCGAGAAGCGCUGCUCGGGGGCUGCAGCUCCUGAUCUGAAGGCGGCUGCUGCUCAGGGGAGUGGGGCCCCCGGAGAGGUGAAGCUCCAUCGCAGCUGUCACAAAGUGCUUCCCUUGGAAGGAUGAAGCCCACCACCAAGGGCUGCGCUGAGGGUGCUGCAGCCUCCAUGUGCCUACCCAAGAAGAGAUGAGAAGGAUGUGAGUGCUGCAGAAAAUAGUUUUUCUCCAGCCCCAUCUGUGGCUCGUCCUCUUGAAAGUGUGUGUAAGGGACACUGGGCUCGCACACAAACCUGCUAUAUUGGGCACACCUGAUGUCAAAGAUUUGUCCCUUAUGCAUGAUUUGGGUGGUACAAGAUCCUGGGGUGCCUUUUAGAAAGGGCUGGGAAUUACCUGAACAUCCCCUUCCUCACUGAAACUCGUAGUGGUAUCCAAAGCUCAGGAUGUGAUCCAGGGCUAGCACUUUCAACACAUUUGUAUAUGCAUUGGUUAACUAAAUAUUCUCCUAGACACUGUAUCAGUGCCCUUAACUCCAACAUGACAGUAACUAUAAGGAUAUUACACAUGAUCCCAUGGCAAAUCAUACUGGUUCUUACCUACUUUUACCUGAACAGCAUCCCUUGUCCUUAACAACACCACAGCCCAUGUCCUCUUCACUUCUGUAAGUGUCAAAUUCUCUUGGUCAGCCCAUUGGAGGUAGAGAGCCCAGGAGGCAAUGGGAAGCCCACAAAUAGCACAUGGGAAGAAGAGAAUCCCCUUGGAGGGCUGGGAUUAAAUGACACUACAGCUAGCACUAAAAAUAAUCCACACCUGGUAGCACUUAAAACACUAAAGUUUGUCAGGUAUGAAUGGUCAGCAGCCCAAGCUAAAACUGAACCAGCUCUGAUUUUUGAAGUAGAACAACUUGAAGGUAGUGAUUGCUCAUUUUGUCACCGACUGUAGUUCUGUAGAACCCACCACAAUUUAAGAAUGAAAAAUCUUCACAAAGACUGGAAAUAAAUAUGGUGCAGGGUCCUGCUGCUGAAGAA
Long non-coding RNA from Gavialis gangeticus (Gharial), 1046 nucleotides. RefSeq lists it as uncharacterized. The transcript is spliced from 2 exons. Lineage: Eukaryota; Metazoa; Chordata; Crocodylia; Gavialidae. The record is from RefSeq and is a predicted model, not a curated record.